Molecule: small nuclear RNA, 20 nt
Filed under: Arabidopsis thaliana (thale cress)
Lineage: Eukaryota; Viridiplantae; Streptophyta; Magnoliopsida; Brassicales; Brassicaceae
Description: snRNA_05651
Source: RNAcentral
AAAUGAAUCUUAUAUGUUUA